GGACAGUGCUUUGGUGUAUCCCAAAACUCCUCAGUUUCUCCACCAGGAUAUCAUGGGGCACUUUGUCAAAGGCCUUGCUGAAAUCCAGGUAAACCACAUCCACUGCAUCCCGUCCAUCUAUUCACCUCAAAAUCUUGUUGUAGAAUUACACAAGGUUUGUCUGGCAGGACCUGUUUUUGCGGAAGCCGUGUUGUGUGGCUUAGAUAGGGAAGGCUUCC
This is a long non-coding RNA of Varanus komodoensis (Komodo dragon), 218 nucleotides long. RefSeq lists it as uncharacterized. NCBI's taxonomy places the organism in Eukaryota, Metazoa, Chordata, Lepidosauria, Squamata, Varanidae. The transcript has 3 exons. The record is from RefSeq and is a predicted model, not a curated record.